AAAACAUUCUACCGCCCAAGUAUGGGAGACAGAAAAGGAAAAAGGAGCCAUAGAACUAGUACCGCAAGGGAACGCUGAAAGAGAGAUGAAACAGCACAGUGAAGUAGAGUAAAGCAGAGGUUAAACCUCGUACCUUUUGCAUCAUGAAUUAGCAAGCACAAGCAGUCAAGGAGCCCCAUAGCCUGCCACCCCGAAACUAAGUGAGCUACUUCAAGACAGCCUAUUAUAGGGCCAACCCGUCUCUGUGGCAAAAGAGUGGGAAGAUCUUCAAGUAGAAGUGACAGACUUACCGAACUUAGUUAUAGCUGGUUGUCUGGAAAAUGGAUAUAAGUUCAGCCCCACCCCUUCUUACCUCAAAAGCAAAACAUGCUGGUCUGAUAAAAAGAAGUCGGGGGAGUUAGUCGAAGGGGGUACAGCCCCUUCGAAAAAAGACACAACUUCCUAAGGAGGAUAAAGACUAAGACCAAGGGAUGACAUCUCAGUGGGCCUAAAAGCAGCCACCUGCGUAGAAAGCGUUAAAGCUCAAGAACAACUCAACCCGUAUAUUCCAUCAAAAUAAUCUGAACCCCCUGCAAACUACCAGACCUAUCUACUGAAAGUGGAAAAGAUCAUGCUAGUAUGAGUAAUAAGAAGGCCCCGGCCUUCUCCCCGCACACGUGUACCUCGGUACGGACAACCCACCGAGAAUUAACGGCCCCAAGUAAAGAGGGUAAUGACAAGCACCCAAUCAACUGGAAAAGCAUUCAAACCCAGCCGUUGACCCCACACUGGAGUGCCCGAAGGAAAGACUAAAAGAAAAAGAAGGAACUCGGCAAACCAACCCAAGCCUCGCCUGUUUACCAAAAACAUCGCCUCUUGCCCCUACACAGUAUAAGAGGUCCAGCCUGCCCAGUGACAGUAUGUUCAACGGCCGCGGUAUUUUGACCGUGCUAAGGUAGCGCAAUCACUUGUCUUUUAAAUGAAGACCUGUAUGAAAGGUAUGACGAGGGCUUAACUGUCUCCUUUUUCCAGUCAAUGAAAUUGACCUCCCCGUGCAGAGGCGGGGAUCACAACACAAGACGAGAAGACCCUGUGGAGCUUAAGACACCACCGCGGCUCAUGUCAAUAUCCCUCCCCCGGGAAAGAACUGAGUGAGAACCGCCCGCAUGUCUUCGGUUGGGGCGACCCUGGGGAAAACAAAUCCCCCAAGUGGAUUAGGAGCACUAGAGGUAACGGACUCUCACCCCACAGCCAGCCUCCUAAAAACUAGAGCCCCAACUCUAGUUAACGAGACACUCGACCCAGAAUGAUCCGGGCAACCGAUCAACGAACCAAGUUACCCCAGGGAUAACAGCGCUAU
This 1339-nucleotide ribosomal RNA is filed under the name Engyprosopon maldivense. Its description in RNAcentral is "16S ribosomal RNA". It matches the Rfam family "Bacterial large subunit ribosomal RNA", at positions 216 to 2486 of the family's 2925-position model. The record is from RNAcentral. Lineage: Eukaryota; Metazoa; Chordata; Actinopteri; Pleuronectiformes; Bothidae.